This 135-nucleotide long non-coding RNA is filed under the name Rhinopithecus bieti (black snub-nosed monkey). RNAcentral describes it as "lncRNA (ENSRBIG00000045630.1)". Lineage: Eukaryota; Metazoa; Chordata; Mammalia; Primates; Cercopithecidae. The record is from RNAcentral.
AUGACUGGAUGGCCCUUGCCACACUGGGAAGGGAAUGGGGGCCUCCCAUUGGAACUCUGGGUGGAGAGGGAAGCUCCACCAGCUAUUGUGCCUCCCACUUCCACUGACAAAAUAAGUGUUGCAAACGUGGCUUAA